This 329-nucleotide unclassified non-coding RNA is filed under the name soil metagenome. RNAcentral's name for it is "partial contains 5.8S ribosomal RNA, internal transcribed spacer 2, and large subunit ribosomal RNA". The stretch from base 1 to 120 matches the Rfam family "5.8S ribosomal RNA", at positions 35 to 154 of the family's 154-position model. The record is from RNAcentral.
GAUGAAGAACGCAGCGAAAUGCGAUAAGUAAUGUGAAUUGCAGAAUUCAGUGAAUCAUCGAAUCUUUGAACGCACAUUGCGCCCCCUGGUAUUCCGGGGGGCAUGCCUGUCCGAGCGUCAUUACAACCCUCAAGCUCAGCUUGGUAUUGGGCCCCGCCGACCCGGCGGGCCCUAAAGUCAGUGGCGGUGCCGUCCGGCUCCGAGCGUAGUAAUUCUUCUCGCUCUGGAGGUCCGGUCGUAUGCUCGCCAGCAACCCCCAAUUUUUUUCAGGUUGACCUCGGAUCAGGUAGGGAUACCCGCUGAACUUAAGCAUAUCAAUAAGCGGAGGA